RNAcentral lists this ribosomal RNA (497 nucleotides) under uncultured bacterium. RNAcentral's name for it is "partial 16S ribosomal RNA". It matches the Rfam family "Bacterial small subunit ribosomal RNA", at positions 28 to 507 of the family's 1533-position model. The record is from RNAcentral.
GAUGAACGCUGGCGGCGUGCCUAAUACAUGCAAGUCGAGCGAACGGACGAGAAGCUUUCUUCUCUGAUGUUAGCGGCGGACGGGUGAGUAACACGUGGAUAACCUACCUAUAAGACUGGGAUAACUUCGGGAAACCGUAUCUAAUACCGGAUAAUAUUUUGAACCGCAUGGUUCAACAGUGAAAGACGGUCUUGCUGUCACUUAUAGAUGGAUCCGCGCUGCAUUAGCUAGUUGGUAAGGUAACGGCUUACCAAGGCAACGAUGCAUAGCCGACCUGAGAGGGUGAUCGGCCACACUGGAACUGAGACACGGUCCAGACUCCUACGGGAGGCAGCAGUAGGGAAUCUUCCGCAAUGGGCGAAAGCCUGACGGAGCAACGCCGCGUGAGUGAUGAAGGUCUUCGGAUCGUAAAACUCUGUUAUUAGGGAAGAACAUAUGUGUAAGUAACUGUGCACAUCUUGACGGUACCUAAUCAGAAAGCCACGGCUAACUACGUG